This 181-nucleotide ribosomal RNA is filed under the name uncultured bacterium. RNAcentral's name for it is "partial 16S ribosomal RNA". It matches the Rfam family "Bacterial small subunit ribosomal RNA", at positions 1307 to 1500 of the family's 1533-position model. The record is from RNAcentral.
GAAACUACGCCUACAUGAAGCUGGAAUUGCUAGUAAUCACAGGUCAGCAUACUGUGGUGAAUACGUUCCCGGGCCUUGUACACACCGCCCGUCACACCAUGAGAGUUGAGAAUACCCGAAGCCCAUGUCAAAGUGGUCGAAGGUAGGCUUGAUGAUUGGGGUGAAGUCGUAACAAGGUAGC